GUGCCCUGCUGUCCUGGAGCACAGAGGACCAGGAGCCAAGGCCACUCGUCCUGCCUGCACCACAACCAGAGUGUAGCCAGGAGAGGCUGAGCUCAAUGAUUCUGCAGAACGGUGGAAGGGGUUCAGCCCAGCCUUGCCUGAGAUGUAUCGCGGGGGAAUCUGGCCAUUUUAACCAUACCAGCAAUCAUUAGAAGAUGCAAACGGGACAAAGGAAGAUUCCAGUUGAGUUUGAAUCCUCACAUGAUGGCCAGUGCACAUCCCGUACAUCUUGCUUGGAUGCCCACCUAUUCAAAUGAUAGUCAGGGCUCCCUGCAGAGGUUGUCUGCCUCUCAGGUAAUCCCACUGUCCUCUGCAGAAGGCCAGGAACAUUCUGAGUGGGGUGGCUCACCGCAGCCUCUUUUCUAAUGUCUUCUGCUGGACAAGAAAUUAUCUAGAAGUCAGAAAAUUCUGUAUCAAACUGCCUUGGGCCUCAUAGCUCAUGUAAUCAUUAGGCUCAGCCGAGAUCUCCCUGCCUGUGGACUUUGGGUUGUUUCUGGACAUUACUGGGCUGCUUAUAUACUCUUUUUAAUUAAAAGACUUAUUUUUGUAUUUUAAAUGCUCUAUAAUGUUGAAGUGAAUGUUACUAAAUGCUGAUGCCCAAUCAAACUAUGUAAUUCUCCAAUUGAAGUUAUCAGGGACAGAGCCCCAUUUAUAUUAAAAUGGAAAUUAUGGAC
Molecule: long non-coding RNA, 713 nt
Filed under: Rattus norvegicus (Norway rat)
Lineage: Eukaryota; Metazoa; Chordata; Mammalia; Rodentia; Muridae
Description: long non-coding RNA NONRATT003298
Source: RNAcentral